Molecule: transfer RNA, 77 nt
Filed under: Vibrio cholerae
Lineage: Bacteria; Pseudomonadati; Pseudomonadota; Gammaproteobacteria; Vibrionales; Vibrionaceae
Description: tRNA-Trp(cca)
Rfam family: tRNA
About the family: Transfer RNA (tRNA) molecules are approximately 80 nucleotides in length.
Source: RNAcentral
NNNGGUGUAGCUCCAAUUGGCAGAGCAGCGGAUUCCAAAUCCGCGUGUUGGGAGUUCGAAUCUCUCCACCCCUGCCA